UGGGGAAUAUUGCACAAUGGGCGCAAGCCUGAUGCAGCCAUGCCGCGUGUGUGAAGAAGGCCUCGGUUGUAAAGCACUUCAGCGAGGAGGAAGGUGGUGAGCUUAAUACGCUCAUCAAUUGACGUUACUCGCAGAAGAAGCACCGGCUAACUCCGUGCCAGCAGCCGCGGUAAUACGGAGGGUGCAAGCGUUAAUCGGAAUUACUGGGCGUAAAGCGCACGCAGGCGGUUUGUUAAGUCAGAUGUGAAAUCCCCGGGGCUCAACCUGGGAACUGCAUUUGAAACUGGCAAGCUAGAGUCUCGUAGAGGGGGGCUAGAAUUUCCAGGUGUAGCGGUGAAAUGCGUAGAGAUCUGGAGGAAUACCGGUGGCGAAGGCGGCCCCCUGGA
Molecule: ribosomal RNA, 386 nt
Filed under: uncultured bacterium
Lineage: Bacteria
Description: partial 16S ribosomal RNA
Rfam family: Bacterial small subunit ribosomal RNA
Source: RNAcentral